UUCUGUUGUUGGGAGGUCUCAGCCUCUCUCCUCGGUUCCUCCCAGGGCUCUCACGUCUGCCUCCCUCCACGCCUCUGCCUUUUCUCCCUCCCUUCAACCCCUCCUCCAGCUUGACCCACGUGGGACGUUUCGGUGACAGGCCCUGGAAGAGGCGGAGGCCCUAGCGGAUCUGCCACAGCUGAGCGCAAGCGGAUGCUGGGAUGCUCGUGAUGGACAGACUGCGCAUCCUGAGUGAAGAGUGAAUGGUGCUGUGUCCAAGCACUAGUGUUACCUUCCUAAGGCAGUUAAGCCACUUUAGAAGAAGGAAACAAGCAAGCCGGUGACAUCCAGCCCGAUGUUUGGAGUGACAGCUGCUUCCUUGCUAAGACCUGGCCGUGCGUCCCCAUUCAGCUGCAGGCAGGCAUCAGUCCAACCACCGCCGUUUCCUGUGUCAGUUGCUCUCAACCUUGUUCUAGCUGCCAGAGUCUCAUAUGCUCGGGCUUCAGAAGACAAAAAGGGAAAUGGGCAGUGGAGAGCUGAGCCCGGGAGGGGUCACUGAGACAGCUGUUGUGAAAAUCCAACAGCCUCCGGGCUUUCCAAAGGGCACAAAUGUGCUUGCAAUUCCGCUGGGCCACUCUGAGAAGACCAACUUGUCAAUUACAUGGCAGAAAACAACAGUUGUUUGACAGUAGCCUCUUCGAGAUUUCCCUUCCCCAGAGACCCUCUGCCCUAGACUCCAAGAUCCGUCGAUGCCCUUAAGAAGUUUACAUUUCUAGAACAGUGAGUUUGACUAUGGACUGGGAAGAUGGCUCAUUGGAUAAAGUGCCUGCCCCACAAGAGUGAAGACCAGAUUUUUUUGAUUCUCUGCUCCCAGUCAAAUGCUGGGUUGACUUACUAGUGCACCUGGAAGCCCAGGGCUCAGGAAACAGAGGCAGUAAGUCCAUCCCUGGAAGAAGCUGAUGAGCUGGACUAGAUGCAUCGGUCAGUUCUGGGUUCCAGUGAGAGAACCUCAGUAUAUGAGAUAGAGAGAGACUGAGAGAGAUGCCAACACCAGCUACACCACACACUUUUUAAACAGGAAGACUCUGAUGGCUCGUUUCUUAGUACUUCUGCUCAGAGUUCCUACUGGCUAAACACAGAUCCACAAGUUUCCAAGGAAAACUUAACAGACUGUCGCCACCUAGUUGGGGUAUGCACUGGGCUAAGUAUUUAUGCUUCCUAAGGGACCCAAGGUUGUGGUUCCCAAAUAAAACCCAAUUCCAGCACA
Molecule: non-coding RNA, 1246 nt
Organism: Peromyscus maniculatus bairdii (prairie deer mouse)
Lineage: Eukaryota; Metazoa; Chordata; Mammalia; Rodentia; Cricetidae
Source: RefSeq, a predicted model, not a curated record